AAAUAUUUUUUUCGCCGAGCUAUCUUAGCUAAAUUCGUUGCUAUGCAACCAACAUGCUCUUUUAGCCGUAAACCAAAUUUAAUUUUUGAGUUUGCCAGGGUUAACAAGGAAACUUGUUUACCUCCCGACUUUGGAAAGGUGACAUGUUAACAGACAA
Non-coding RNA from Colwellia sp. PAMC 21821, 157 nucleotides. The record is from Rfam. Lineage: Bacteria; Pseudomonadati; Pseudomonadota; Gammaproteobacteria; Alteromonadales; Colwelliaceae.